GAUGAACGCUGGCGGCGUGCCUAAUACAUGCAAGUCGAGCGAACAGACGAGGAGCUUGCUCCUCUGACGUUAGCGGCGGACGGGUGAGUAACACGUGGAUAACCUACCUAUAAGACUGGGAUAACUUCGGGAAACCGGAGCUAAUACCGGAUAAUAUAUUGAACCGCAUGGUUCAAUAGUGAAAGACGGUUUUGCUGUCACUUAUAGAUGGAUCCGCGCCGCAUUAGCUAGUUGGUAAGGUAACGGCUUACCAAGGCAACGAUGCGUAGCCGACCUGAGAGGGUGAUCGGCCACACUGGAACUGAGACACGGUCCAGACUCCUACGGGAGGCAGCAGUAGGGAAUCUUCCGCAAUGGGCGAGAGCCUGACGGAGCAACGCCGCGUGAGUGAUGAAGGUCUUCGGAUCGUAAAACUCUGCUAUUAGGGAAGAACAAAUGUGUAAGUAACUAUGCACGUCUUGACGGUACCUAGUCAGAAAGCCACGGCUAACUACGUG
RNAcentral lists this ribosomal RNA (497 nucleotides) under uncultured bacterium. Its description in RNAcentral is "partial 16S ribosomal RNA". It matches the Rfam family "Bacterial small subunit ribosomal RNA", at positions 28 to 507 of the family's 1533-position model. The record is from RNAcentral.